This 269-nucleotide ribosomal RNA is filed under the name Clostridioides difficile. RNAcentral's name for it is "partial 23S ribosomal RNA". It matches the Rfam family "Bacterial large subunit ribosomal RNA", at positions 1613 to 1895 of the family's 2925-position model. The record is from RNAcentral. Lineage: Bacteria; Bacillati; Bacillota; Clostridia; Peptostreptococcales; Peptostreptococcaceae.
AAAAGUCUCUAUCGAGGUUAAAGGUACCCGUACCGCAAACCGACACAGGUGGGUGAGGAGAGUAUCCUAAGGCCAGCGAGAGAACUGUUGUUAAGGAACUCGGCAAAAUGACCCCGUAACUUAGGGAUAAGGGGUGCCACCAUCAGGUGGCCGCAGAGAAUAGGCCCAAGCGACUGUUUACCAAAAACAUAGGUUUCUGCUAAGUCGCAAGACGAUGUAUAGGAGCUGACGCCUGCCCGGUGCUGGAAGGUUAAGGGGAUCUGUUAGAG